This 1121-nucleotide long non-coding RNA is filed under the name Rattus norvegicus (Norway rat). RNAcentral describes it as "Hnf4a_us2". The record is from RNAcentral. Lineage: Eukaryota; Metazoa; Chordata; Mammalia; Rodentia; Muridae.
CAAGCAGCCACCUGGCCUCAGACUAGCCUGGCUUUGCCGUUUCCUUUGGCAGCUCCCAAGACCCGAGGGUAAGAGUCCUGGGUGCCUGGGACCUACCAGGCCAUCCUGCAUCUCCCAUGGGCCUCCCGACCCAGGGACCCCCAUUCUUAUCUGAGAGGACCACCUCUUCCUGAAGCUGGAACCUGAUACUUAUUGUUGCCAACUGAAACCAGGAGAAUCUUGAUGACCUGGAUGAGCUUGAGGCCUCCUCCUCUGUCUCUUCCCAAUCCCCAGAGCUUUGCACACACUGUAUUUAUCAGAGUAUAAUGUGAACUUGAAAUGGCCGUGUGUUGGGCUCCUUGUGGCUAAUCUACAUUUCUCCAGCCCCCGUUGUGGAGAUGCUCGCUGGCUGUAUUCCUCUAGUAUACCCCAAACCUUGAAUAGGUUCGAACGAAACAAAGAAGAGGCAACUAAUGGGAAUUUGGUAGCGUGCUGAAGAGGCCUUUGAGGAGAAACUGUCGGUGUCUGACAGUGAGGUCGUCAGGGGGGUAGCUUCAUAGUUCUCUGGAUGUGACUGUGACGCUUGUCUCCGCCAGUGAGAUGUGAGGAGAAGCAGGCUGUGCCAGCCCCAGUCCCAAGCCUUGAGACUAGCACUCGAGAGGCAAAAGCAGGAGGAUUUCUGAGGUUCGAGGCUAGCUAGGACAGCCAACGCUACAAAGAGAAGCCUUGUCUUGAAAAAACAAAACAAAGCAAAACCAAGAGCAAACCAACAAAAACCAAAACAACAACAGCAGCAACAACAAAAAGAAUUUGCUGAUUCCUAUGACCCCAAAGAGCAAGCCAGAAAUAAUAGAUGGAACAAAAAUCUGGGCCCAGAAUAAAGACCUUGCUACGUGCUAUGACUAUCCUACGAGGAGCAAUCCUGAUGGAUCCAGAUUAUUAGCUGCUUGUCACUGGGGGCCUCCAACACCAGCCUGGGAAUCAUGAUGUCAAGGAAGAUGGGUUGUGGAUUCCAGAAGCUCCCAGGGUGAAGCAGAUUUUCCCAGGGAGCAAAUAUCUCAAAUGAAAUACAACCAAACUCCAGCACAGUGGGGAAACUGGGUCUCCGUAUGUAAAAGACUGAAGUUGAUGGGCUGGAGAGA